UAUAAUCCCUUCCUGAAGUGUCAGUGUCA
This 29-nucleotide non-coding RNA is filed under the name Rattus norvegicus (Norway rat). The record is from RNAcentral. Lineage: Eukaryota; Metazoa; Chordata; Mammalia; Rodentia; Muridae.